UCGGGAAUUUUGGGCAAUGGGCGAAAGCCUGACCCAGCAACGCCGCGUGAAGGAUGAAGUAUUUCGGUAUGUAAACUUCGAAAGAAUAGGAAGAAUAAAUGACGGUACUAUUUAUAAGGUCCGGCUAACUACGUGCCAGCAGCCGCGGUAAUACGUAGGGACCAAGCGUUGUUCGGAUUUACUGGGCGUAAAGGGCGCGUAGGCGGCAAUUCAAGUCAUCUGUGAAAUCUCCGGGCUUAACUCGGAACGGUCAGAUGAUACUGCUUUGCUAGAGUGCAGAAGGGGCAAUCGGAAUUCUUGGUGUAGCGGUGAAAUGCGUAGAUAUCAAGAGGAACACCUGAGGUGAAGACGGGUUGCUGGGCUGACACUGAGGUGCGAAAGCGUGGGGAGCAAACAGGAUUAGAUACCCGGGUAGUCCCUGAGCGGGCUGGCAAGGCGCAU
This 441-nucleotide ribosomal RNA is filed under the name uncultured bacterium. Its description in RNAcentral is "bacterial SSU rRNA". It matches the Rfam family "Bacterial small subunit ribosomal RNA", at positions 355 to 825 of the family's 1533-position model. The record is from RNAcentral.